Molecule: long non-coding RNA, 253 nt
Filed under: Carica papaya (papaya)
Lineage: Eukaryota; Viridiplantae; Streptophyta; Magnoliopsida; Brassicales; Caricaceae
Description: long non-coding RNA (CPAP_LNC015881)
Source: RNAcentral
CUGACGCGGAAACCAAGGAUCUUUUCCUCAACUUUUUGGUCACCAAGGUGCUUCCAACUUCUGCUAAACUCAAGUAAUCAAAAAGGUUUGUCAAGACACCCUUGAAACACCUUUUCAAUUGAACUUUAGAACAGAAACCUAAACGCAAUUGACAAAACUUUCAAAGACGUUUUGAAUAGGAAGAAAUCAAUUUUGUUUAUUAAGUUUAAAGCUUAAUUAAACAGGUUGAAACACCUUGGCACAUGAUUAAGAA